RNAcentral lists this small RNA (636 nucleotides) under Histoplasma capsulatum. RNAcentral describes it as "hypothetical RNA". The record is from RNAcentral. RNAcentral also lists the same sequence under 1 other name. Lineage: Eukaryota; Fungi; Ascomycota; Eurotiomycetes; Onygenales; Ajellomycetaceae.
ACAAUGUCAAAACUAAUUAAAGACAAGGUUGCACGGUCGACGCAAAGAAUCCCAGAGGGCUUUGUGAAGCUAAUAAUCCUAUGAGAGACUCCUUUUGUAACAGAAUUCCCAAGGUGGAUGAGGAUGAGAAAAAUCGAGAUACAAAGCUCGAGAAUAUCCGCUGGGAGUCGCUUUCCCCAUUAUACUAUGAAUCCCCUUUCAUCAAAUUGAUGUUGCAGCCCCAACAAAGAUACAGGAGUUGCUGAUGGGUUCAAGUUCUUCAACAACAGGAUACCUAGAUGCUCCUUUCUACCAGCGGCCCGCUCAUUGCGACAGGUUCUCGCGGAGCUUAAUACAUCUGGAAGAAAUACGCUAUGCAGGUCGUGACUACUUUGAGCUGUUUCCGCGAGACUUGGUUGCCAUCCAGUCACCCGAUUGAGAUGGGCUCUGUUGAGGAGUCUUCAAUGCCCACAUUUGCAUAAAUAUUAGUACCUUCCAGUUAGGGUUACCGUAUGGUUUCCGGAGCGCGGUAUCUGGACUGGUACUCUGGAAUCACGCAUCCAUGGACAAAUUCUUGCUUGGGGUAGAUUUAGGGGUGGUCUGUAGAUAGAGGAAAUCUUCAAUAUUAAUAGCAUGCAACACUGGGACCUUAGAAUG